CAGCCGCCGCGGGAAUACGAAGGGUGCAAGCGUUAAUCGGAAUUACUGGGCGUAAAGCGCGCGUAGGUGGUUCAUUAAGUUGGAUGUGAAAUCCCUGAGCUUAACUUAGGAAUUGCAUUCGAUACUGGGAAGCUAGAGUAUGGGAGAGGACGGUAGAAUUCCAGGUGUAGCGGUGAAAUGCGUAGAGAUCUGGAGGAAUACCGAUGGCGAAGGCAGCCAUCUGGCCUAAUACUGACGCUGAGGUACGAAAGCAUGGGGAGCAAACAGGAUUAGAUACCCCUGUAGUCCCUGUCUCUUAUAC
This 301-nucleotide ribosomal RNA is filed under the name uncultured bacterium. RNAcentral describes it as "partial 16S ribosomal RNA". It matches the Rfam family "Bacterial small subunit ribosomal RNA", at positions 509 to 807 of the family's 1533-position model. The record is from RNAcentral.